RNA transcript from Tripterygium wilfordii, 2457 nucleotides. RefSeq lists it as uncharacterized. The transcript is spliced from 2 exons. Lineage: Eukaryota; Viridiplantae; Streptophyta; Magnoliopsida; Celastrales; Celastraceae. The record is from RefSeq and is a predicted model, not a curated record.
CGGUGCCUCCUCUCUUCUUCAUUCAUUGCUUCUUCUCUCUUUUUUCCUUUGCUUACGACAUAAAUCGGCGUUUAUUCUUCUUCUUUCUUGCGACUAAAAUUGAGAUUUCUUCUUUUUCCUUCGCCUGGGACAAAGACAGAUCUAGAAAGCAGAGCUCUUGAUCUAGAGAGAGCAAUAGAGAACGAAAAUGACAAAGUUGUCAUUCGAUUGUCAUCACCAGAUCUAAUAUUUUAUCUGUUUUGGAGCUGCUACUAUUAUAUCUGUUUUGCAUAUGCUGCAAUUACAUAUGAUAAGGCGCAUAAUCCUUCUUCAUUUUUUGUAUUUUUUUCUUCUGAUUCUGGUUAUGAUGGAUCUGUUUAUAUAUUAUCACUUUUGGAUCUGUUGAAAUUUUAUAUGUUUCUCCAAAAUAUUAUUUGUUUCAUUUGUCAUAAAUUUUCAAAUGAAAUCUGUCUAAAAAAUAUAACAAAAUUAAACCAAGUCAGUUUCACCUGCCUAAAAAUUUACAGAUAACAUAUAUAUUCAACAAUCCAGAAUUUCAUUAUCUACCAUAAUAUGUUCAUGAAUACAAUCAUAAAAUCCAAAAAAAUCACAAAAAAUAAGAUAACAUAUAUAUUAAUCUUUCUUCAAACAGAGAUUGAUGGGCGUUAUUGGCACUUGGCCGCUCAGCAUCUUGCGAAAACUAAAAUUGAGAGCUUCAUUGUUCUUUGUAUCGUUACUGUGUUUGAUUUUAUGCAGGGGUUUGGUGUCAAUCAUAGAUUGGGUCAGCCGAUGUCUCGCGUCACUCAUCGAUUGUUUCUGAUGAGGCAGCUGAGGUUAGUGGUAGUCGUGAAACAACUUCCCCUGCAAUAUGAGACACUCUUUCUCCUACUAUGCUAUGCACUCUUUGGUCCACCUGUAAAAUCCAUUUCAGAUUUGAGCGAAUUAAUGUACAGAAACUGCACAACCCAUACACUCACAGGAAUAUCAACAAACACUGAUCCAACACAACAGAUCCGGUAGAAGAACUCAUUUCCCAAUGAUUCCACUCCAAGUUCUACAAAAUCACAACCACCGGCAUCAGGUCACUUCCAUAUGUUUUCAUUCGCAGUGACAAUUUCAAUUAAUUCUUCAAGUCCUCUUUGUCAUCCACUCCUCACUAUGUUCUGAUAAGAAACUGGAGAAAAAAGAUAGAGCAUCUCAUGGCGCUGUUGUAUGCUACUUUCUUUUUCAAUUUUCCCUAAUCUUGUCAGUUUUAUAUUUAUUGUUUUGAUUUUGUGUUUCUUCUCUGCUUUCAAAUUUUCUCUUGGUUUGGGUAUUUUUAGCAUCUUUGGAAAAGAGGAAGAGAAUUUUGUGGAGCUCAAAACUACAAAUGGUACUGUAAGGCACUGCACUAUGUUACCCUUGCCCUUGAUUAUUUUCUAUUGGAGAAGAAGAUGGAGUGAAAGACUAUUCCAGUGACUUUGAAACUUCUUACUUUUGUUUACAACAACAGUAACUCAAAAUUUUCUAUAAUUUUGUAUUUGUAAUUAUAGUUUUUGCGUGUCAAGACUUGGUUGAUGUAAUACUGAAGGAAAGGACUGCACCACUAAACUUUCUUUUUCAAAACUUUUUUUUUUUUCCAUUCACAGUGGGACAUUGUGAUUUGUUUUUGCUACUGAGUUUUGGACAUUAUUUUAAUGUUAUGUUUGAUUGAUUUUGGCUUCAACCCAUUUCAAUUUAUGAGUCAAUUUGAUGAUCAACAACAACAGAUACGAGAUAUCUUUGAUGUUUUUGAAUGGAAGGAUCACAUCUACUAUUCCCCAUUGAAUUACUUGUGAGAGAGCUUCUAUUUCUCUUGAAAUUCAUAGUUGAUAUGAGUCAUUUUCUGAACAUUUCUUCCUUUAGGUACCUAUUUUAUCUGUCAAGCUUUCUCAAAAGUUUUUGUGUUGUUGCCAUUUUGGUCUCGGCUAAUGUCUUUUAAUGACAUGUUUGGCUGGUCAAAUUAGAGGCAAUUCCGGGGCUUUUAGUGCAAGGGAUGCCGUCCAGUCCUUGAUUGGCCUGCUAUCUAUGUAAUGUUCUUGAUCUAAUCAUCUAAUUGUUCUUAUUCUUUAAUUUAUGCUCUGUUUUGACGUUAUUUAUAUCUUUCUCAACUGAUAAUUUUUUAUGCAAUAAGCCUCAAAACUUGAAGUACCAUUUUGUGGCGACAAAAAAAAUCGUCGCAAAAGGAUAUAUGAUUUAGUGGCAAUUUGGUUGUCGCCACGAUAGACGAACCAUUUUACGACGACACACAUUGUCGCUGUAUAAACCUUUUGCGACAACGCCUUUUGCGGCAACUAACGGCGACAAAAUUUUGUCGUCACAAAAGGCUAAUGUGACGACAUUUGAUAUCUUUUACGAUGACAACAGUCGCCGCAAAAGAGUGAGAUUGUUGUAGUGAAUUUACAUAAACAUAUGGUAUGCCUAUGUGGCUUUUUUAAUAAAGUUAAUUUAUUUUUUUAA